Molecule: non-coding RNA, 21 nt
Filed under: Arabidopsis thaliana (thale cress)
Lineage: Eukaryota; Viridiplantae; Streptophyta; Magnoliopsida; Brassicales; Brassicaceae
Source: RNAcentral
GAGGAGAAAGAAAGAACCUAC